AGGGUGUAAACGCUGCAGACUUGGUGUUGGAAGUCCUUUGGGGGCAUUCAGUGCCGGAGAGAAGUUGUUAAGUCUGCUACUUGGGGAGUACGUCCGCAAGGAUGAAACUUAAAAGGAAUUGGCGGGGGGGAGGCACCGCAACGGGAGGAGCGUGCGGUUUAAUUGGAUUCAACACCGUAAAACUCACCAGGGAAGACUGUUACAUGAAAGCCGAGAUGAAGACUCUGCUAGAUUUUCAGAGAGGAGGUGCAUGGCGUCAGUGACU
This 265-nucleotide ribosomal RNA is filed under the name uncultured archaeon. Its description in RNAcentral is "partial 16S ribosomal RNA". It matches the Rfam family "Archaeal small subunit ribosomal RNA", at positions 748 to 1008 of the family's 1478-position model. The record is from RNAcentral.